RNAcentral lists this non-coding RNA (24 nucleotides) under Arabidopsis thaliana (thale cress). The record is from RNAcentral. Lineage: Eukaryota; Viridiplantae; Streptophyta; Magnoliopsida; Brassicales; Brassicaceae.
UGGAGCCAUUCUUCCCGUCCACUC